UUCCGAGUGUCACUAUACGAAAGUGCAGAACACAGGAUGCGUUCACACUUCCUUCUGCUCAUGCAGUACAUCGCUCCGAGCCUAUUGUGGUUUUCGUACCGAUGAGCGUCCCUCGGCUUAUUGGAUGUCUCCGUUUUCGCCCGGGCGAGUGCAGAGAUGUGAACUGUCUCGAUCCUCCGGGUAUAAAAUGGAAGUAUUCGCCCAACUCACUGAGGGGGCAACUGCUCCAUCAUCCGUCGAUUGUCUGAAACGUAAAUCCAAGAGAAUUAUCUCAUCUCGGACCAGAGCAUCCCAUUGACAAUAGGUUUUCUGUAAUUCAGUUACUAGAGGACAUUGACUAUCUCCAAGGGGUUUGAGUUGGUUAACAUGAUACCAACCCAACUUGUUUGGAGCGGUCUGGAUUCGAUAUACUGAUGGACUGGCUCAGUCCCGACAAAUCCGGAAAUUGUAAAGGGGCUCGGCAGAUGCAAUGACAGCAUAACCUUCUGUCCUAUUUCCAACGACCGCGGUUUUGCUCGCACCUCGAAACAAGCUUCGCUCUGCCGUUUUUUCCAUCAUGUAUUAUGGGCGGCAUCAUAAUAAGCCUCCAUAAAAGAGUCAA
Molecule: long non-coding RNA, 601 nt
Organism: Hypanus sabinus (Atlantic stingray)
Lineage: Eukaryota; Metazoa; Chordata; Chondrichthyes; Myliobatiformes; Dasyatidae
Exons: 2
Source: RefSeq, a predicted model, not a curated record